AAGUCGUAACAAGGUUUCCGUAGGUGAACCUGCGGAAGGAUCAUUACAAAUCUGAGGCCCGUAUAGGGUCUAUAUGUUCGAGGCAGCAAUGCUUCGUGACAUUUACGCUUGUAUGUUUGACAGAGUUAGUGUGACAUAUAAACAAAGACAACUUUUAACAAUGGAUCUCUUGGCUCUU
This 178-nucleotide unclassified non-coding RNA is filed under the name fungal sp. RNAcentral's name for it is "partial internal transcribed spacer region". The stretch from base 1 to 46 matches the Rfam family "Eukaryotic small subunit ribosomal RNA", at positions 1786 to 1831 of the family's 1831-position model. Lineage: Eukaryota; Fungi. The record is from RNAcentral.